RNAcentral lists this ribosomal RNA (652 nucleotides) under uncultured ciliate. RNAcentral describes it as "SSU rRNA". It matches the Rfam family "Eukaryotic small subunit ribosomal RNA", at positions 321 to 1000 of the family's 1831-position model. Lineage: Eukaryota; Ciliophora. The record is from RNAcentral.
CUUGAUUGUAGUGUAUUGGACUACCAUGAAGGAUUACGGGUACGAGGAAUUAGGGUUUGAUAUCGGAGAGGGAGCCUGAGAAACGGCUACCACUUCUAAGGAAGGCAGCAGGCGCGUAAAUUACCCCAAUCCCAACUCGGGGAGGUAGUGACAAGAAAUAAUAACUCGGAUAGUUCUACUAUUACGAGAUUAAAAUGAGAACAAUUUAAAAAUCUUAACGAGGAACAAAAUGAGGGUAAGUCUGGUGCCAGCAGCCGCGGUAAUUCCAGCUCAUUUAGUGUAUAUUAAAGUUGUUGCAGUUAAAAAGCUCGUAGUCGAUCAUCUAGUGCUUGCCGUCGUGGCUUCGGUCAUUGCGCGCGGGUGCUAUCUGCUCGAGAACUUCAUCUAACUUCACUGUUCGAUGUUGCUGAUCGGGCACUUUCCUGAGAAAAAAUUAGAGUGUUCAAAGCGGGCUAUGCCUUGAAUAUUACAGCUUGGAAUAUAGAAUAAGACUGAAGUCUCUUUUGUUGGUUAUGAACUUUAGUAAUGGUUAUAGAAACGGGCGAGGCGUUAGUAUUUAAUUUCGGAGGUGAGAUUCUAUGAUUUAUUAAAGACUACUUAGCGAAAGCUUUGCCGAGGAGUUUUCGAUUGUCGAGAACGGGGUUGGGGUCCG